CUUUUACGAAAAUCUAAGUAAAAGUGAUUUCUUUUGCAUAAUUUAACUUUAUACUUAAACAGUUUUAUUUAGACGAAUUCAUGCUAUUUCCUUUUGUUCAACGUUAAAAUAUUUUUACAGAGUAAUCGUGCUCUUAUCGGCCACAAAAAAUUUCGUUCGUUUCUACGACGACUCGAAAGAAGACACGCCUCAUCGCCAUUUUAAAAAUUCUAUCUACGAUAAAUGAGUGAGAAGAUUGAAGUUUAUUUUAAUAAUAGUGAAAAAGCAAGUCGUCUCCUAUGAUGCUUUAUCUGUUAUCAUCUGGGAGACUUGUAGUUAAUUAAGGAACAUUAGAAAACACCAGAUGCCAUUAAAUUAAGGAGCAUGGAAGUGCCUUUUUUUCUUGGGAAUAAAAAGACAGUGUGCUGUUACUGUAGAAAAGAUUCAUGACAGUGAACUGGAAGGUUGGAUGAACUCCAGAUUCUGUUAAAUUAUGGGGCAGUGGUUGUCUCAGUCGUCAAUCGCUCCAGAAAGUAGCUUUGCCUAUGGUCCUAAAAAAAAGCAUGAAAACACAUUUUUCCAUUGGGAACGAAGACAGUGUGCUGUUGCUGAAGAAAGGAUUUAUGACAAUGAACUGAUUGUCGUAACAAAUUAGAAGGAAUUGGUGCUACUGAAACAACCGAUGCUUUUGAUGUUUUCAUCUUGCAACAUUAUGCAGUUAGUUUUGGCCGUGAGAAUGGGAGGCAAAUGGAAAUUAAUUAGGAAGCCACUGAAACAACAAAUUGUCUGCAGUGAUAUCUCUCCUAGAUUUGUUUUGCUCUGCUCAUAAUACUGGUAGACUUUGGAACGCUAAUUUCUACAGGUAGUCAAGAUCGUGCAACAAAUGGGAGGGAAUUGAAGUUCAGUUUGGUCAUUCUAAAACAAUCAUUGUCUACAUGGGUGUGGUCUUUGGUGAACUACAUUCUUGAUUUGCUGUUUUCGUCUUCGCUUUGCAUCAUUGUGCAGUUAGUUUUGAACUGAUGAGUGAUAGCAACUGAAUAUUUAUUUGAUUACCACUGGAAUAAGGAAUUUUCUGCAUUGGCAUUCCUGGAUUUUGUUUGCUUUUCACACCUGCAAACUUUGGAACAUUAUU
This 1111-nucleotide long non-coding RNA is filed under the name Agrilus planipennis (emerald ash borer). Its description in RNAcentral is "uncharacterized LOC108739227, transcript variant X1". The record is from RNAcentral. Lineage: Eukaryota; Metazoa; Arthropoda; Insecta; Coleoptera; Buprestidae.